This is a long non-coding RNA of Hipposideros armiger (great roundleaf bat), 718 nucleotides long. RefSeq lists it as uncharacterized. NCBI's taxonomy places the organism in Eukaryota, Metazoa, Chordata, Mammalia, Chiroptera, Hipposideridae. The transcript has 4 exons. The record is from RefSeq and is a predicted model, not a curated record.
GCCAGAGUUAAACUUUCCAUUUAUUUAAAAAAAAUAAAAGGUACCAAUCUACAACCAGCAUUAUGACUUUGUCUUAAUUUAUGACCAAGGCCAAACAAUCUGAAAUACAACUGUAAGUGUGAAAUACAACUGUAAGUUGAGAAAAUCUCUGAAAUAAUCAUCUUUCGGAGAAAAGUGUGCUACAAUCCUGAGGUAUUUUGUUUUCUUUCAUAGUUUACCAUUUAUGUCCUCAGUUAAUGACGGUGUUAUCACAGAGAAAAUCUAGAGUCAAUCCCUUCAGUCAGUACUCAAUCAAUGUGUAGUUACCUGGCCAGCAGCUCUUCAGGCUCCACGGAUCCCAACUAGCUGCCAAAGAACCAGAGGACACGAUGAGAAGUUGGCCUCUGAAACUAAACAGGAGGUGGCAGAAGCUACUGUUUGUUCAUACCAGUGACCCUGAGCUUUCCAGAAGAUAUAGAUGAAACCCUGGCCACUCAAUCCUGGGUAUGAGCGCGAUACAGAAAACGCCAAUAACUUUAACACCUUCCCAGUUUCAUCUGAAAUACAACUGAUUAUGAAUAGAUUCCUCAACUUUAAUAUAUACAAAUUGGAUUGUUUAACCCCAUGGAACUCAACUCUUCCUCACCAUAGUAAAUGAAGUCACCAUCUGAAAUCACCACCUAUCCAAUAAUUUAUUCUGAAUGUAAUUAAUCGGGCCGGCCAAGUGGCGCGAUGGUUG